RNAcentral lists this ribosomal RNA (1351 nucleotides) under uncultured prokaryote. Its description in RNAcentral is "partial 16S ribosomal RNA". It matches the Rfam family "Bacterial small subunit ribosomal RNA", at positions 57 to 1384 of the family's 1533-position model. The record is from RNAcentral.
GCAAGUCGAACGCUAAUUUCGGGGUAGCAAUAUUCCGGAGUUGGAGUGGCGAAAGGGUGCGUAACACGUGGGUAAUUUGCCUUAAAGUCGGGGAUAACUUGCCGAAAGGUGAGCUAAUACCGGAUGUGGUCUCUUAGCGGCAUCACCGAGAGUCUAAGGGCCUGCCGCUUCAUGAUGAGCCCGCGUCCUAUCAGCUUGUUGGUGGGGUAAAAGCCUACCAAGGCAAAGACGGGUAGCCGGUCUGAGAGGAUGGUCGGCCACACUGGAACUGAGACACGGUCCAGACACCUACGGGUGGCAGCAGUCGAGAAUCUUUCACAAUGGGGGAAACCCUGAUGGAGCGACGCCGCGUGGGGGAUGAAGGGCUUCGGUUCGUAAACCCCUGUCAUCUGUUAACAAACCUUCCGGGCCAAUACCCCGGAAGCUGAUAGUAGCAGAAGAGGAAGGGACGGCUAACUCCGUGCCAGCAGCCGCGGUAAUACGGAGGUCCCAAGCGUUGUUCGGAUUCACUGGGCGUAAAGGGUGCGUAGGCGGUACCAUAAGUUUGGUGUGAAAGCUCCGGGCUCAACCCGGAAAUUGCAUUGAAUACUAUGGCACUAGAGGAUCGGAGGGGAGACUGGAAUUCCCGGUGUAGCAGUGAAAUGCAUAGAUAUCGGGAGGAACACCAGUGGCGAAGGCGAGUCUCUGGACGACACCUGACGCUGAGGCACGAAAGCUAGGGGAGCAAACAGGAUUAGAUACCCUGGUAGUCCUAGCCGUAAACUGUGUGCACUUGCUGUGGGCGGAUUCGACCCCGUCCGUGGCGCAGCUAACGCGUUAAGUGCACCGCCUGGGGAGUACGGUCGCAAGAUUAAAACUCAAAGAAAUUGACGGGGGCCUGCACAAGCGGUGGAGUAUGUGGCUUAAUUCGAUGCAACGCGAAGAACCUUACCUGGGUUUGACAUGUAAGUGGUAAAAGAUCUGAAAGGUGAAUGACCCUCUUUGAGGGAGCUUACACAGGUGCUGCAUGGCUGUCGUCAGCUCGUGUCGUGAGAUGUUGGGUUAAGUCCCGCAACGAGCGCAACCCUCAUGUUCUGUUGCCACCCAAACGAGAGUUUGGAGCACUCCGAACAGACUGCCCCAUUUUAAUGGGGAGGAAGGUGGGGAUGACGUCAAGUCAGUAUGGCCCUUACGUCCAGGGCUGCACACGUACUACAAUGCCCGGCACAAUGGGAAGCAAGACCGCAAGGUGGAGCCAAUCCCCAAAACCGGGCUCAGUUCAGAUUGUCGGCUGCAACUCGCCGGCAUGAAGGUGGAAUCGCUAGUAAUGGCGCAUCAGCUACGGCGCCGUGAAUACGUUCCCAGGCCUUGU